This 449-nucleotide ribosomal RNA is filed under the name uncultured bacterium. RNAcentral describes it as "partial 16S ribosomal RNA". It matches the Rfam family "Bacterial small subunit ribosomal RNA", at positions 29 to 523 of the family's 1533-position model. The record is from RNAcentral.
AACGAACGCUGGCAGCAGGCCUAACACAUGCAAGUCGAACGCUGUAGCAAUACAGAGUGGCAGACGGGUGAGUAACGCGUGGGAACCUUCCCAAUGGUGCGGAAUAGCCCAGGGAAACUUGGGGUAAUACCGCAUAAGCCCUUAGGGGGAAAGAUUUAUCGCCAUUGGAUGGGCCCGCGUCGGAUUAGCUAGUUGGUGAGGUAAUGGCUCACCAAGGCAACGAUCCGUAGCUGGUUUGAGAGAAUGACCAGCCACACUGGGACUGAGACACAGCCCAGACUCCUACGGGAGGCAGCAGUGGGGAAUCUUGGACAAUGGGCGCAAGCCUGAUCCAGCCAUGCCGCGUGAGUAACGAAGGCCUUAGGGUUGUAAAGCUCUUUUGCCGGGGACGAUAAUGACGGUACCCGGAGAAUAAGUCCCGGCUAACUUCGUGCCAGCCGCCGCAGUAA